GACGUAGGGCGCGAGCGUUGUCCGGAUUUAUUGGGCGUAAAGAGCUCGUAGGCGGUUUGUCGCGUCGACUGUGAAAACCUACAGCUUAACUGUGGGCUUGCAGUCGAUACGGGCAGACUUGAGUUCGGUAGGGGAGACUGGAAUUCCUGGUGUAGCGGUGAAAUGCGCAGAUAUCGAGAGGAACACCUGCGGCGAAGGCGGGUUGCUGGGCUGACACUGACGCUGAUGCGCGAAAGCUAGGGGAGCGAACGGG
This 253-nucleotide ribosomal RNA is filed under the name uncultured bacterium. RNAcentral's name for it is "partial 16S ribosomal RNA". It matches the Rfam family "Bacterial small subunit ribosomal RNA", at positions 524 to 776 of the family's 1533-position model. The record is from RNAcentral.